RNAcentral lists this ribosomal RNA (388 nucleotides) under uncultured bacterium. RNAcentral's name for it is "bacterial SSU rRNA". It matches the Rfam family "Bacterial small subunit ribosomal RNA", at positions 28 to 416 of the family's 1533-position model. The record is from RNAcentral.
GAUGAACGCUAGCGGCAGGCCUAACACAUGCAAGUCGAGGGGCAGCACGUCUUCGGAUGGUGGCGACCGGCGCACGGGUGCGUAACGCGUAUGCAACCUACCUCUUACAGUGGGAUAGCCCAGAGAAAUUUGGAUUAAUACCGCAUAGUAUACAGAUUCAGCAUUGGGACUGUAUUAAACAUUUANGGGUAAGAGAUGGGCAUGCGUUCUAUUAGUUAGUUGGAGUGGUAACGGNACCCCAAGACAGCGAUAGAUAGGGGCCCUGAGAGGGGGAUCCCCCACGACUGGUACUGAGACACGGACCAGACUCCUACGGGAGGCAGCAGUGAGGAAUAUUGGACAAUGGGCGAGAGUCCUGAUCCAGCCAUGCCNCGUGCAGGAGACGCCC